This 1022-nucleotide ribosomal RNA is filed under the name Acinetobacter johnsonii. RNAcentral describes it as "partial 16S ribosomal RNA". The stretch from base 1 to 892 matches the Rfam family "Bacterial small subunit ribosomal RNA". Lineage: Bacteria; Pseudomonadati; Pseudomonadota; Gammaproteobacteria; Moraxellales; Moraxellaceae. The record is from RNAcentral.
AUUGAACGCUGGCGGCAUGCGUUACACAUGCAAGUCGAACGGCAGCACGGGAGCAAUCCUGGUGGCGAGUGGCGAACGGGUGAGUAAUACAUCGGAACGCGCCCAAUCGUGGGGGAUAACGCAGCGAAAGCUGUGUUAAUACCGCAUAUGAUCUACGGAUGAAAGCAGGGGACUCAAGACCUUGCGCGAUUGGGCGGCCGAUGGCGAUUAGGUAGUUGGGGAGGUAAAGGCUCACCAAGCCGUGGAUCUGUGGUUGGCUUGGGAGGAGACCCGGCCCCACUGGGACUGAAGACACGGGCCCAAACUCCUUACGGGGGGGGGGGGGGGGGGAUUUUUGGGCAAAGGGGGGAAAGCUUGUUCCCGGCCAUUGCCGCGGGGCGGGAUGAAAGGCCUUUGGGGUUUUAAAAUGGUUUUUUGUACGGGAACAAAAAGGCCCUUUCUUUAUAAAAAAAGGGGUAAUGGCGGGACCCCAAAGAAAAAAGCACCCGGUAAACUACGUGCCAGCGGCCGCGGGGAAAAACGUAGGGGGGGCAACGGUUAAUUCGGAAAUUAUUGGGGCCCAAAGGGGGGGGCGGGGGGUUAUUUAAAAAAAAUUUUUUAAAACCCCCCGGCCCAACCUGGGGAAAAUCCUUUUUUAAUUUCUUAAGUUGGAGACCGGAAAGGGGGGAUUGAAAUUCCCCCGGUUGGAGGGAAAAAUCGAGAUUUUUCGGAGGAAAACCCAUGGGGGAAGGCAACCCCUGGACCCGUCUGAAGCCUAUCCCCAAAAACGGGGGGGGGAAAAAAGAUAUGAAUCCCCUUUUGGGCCCAGGGGGAAAUCCCCCAUUUGGGUGUCGCCCGGGGGGAACCACUAGUUUUUAAGGGGCCCCCCCCCGGGCCCCCCAUAUUCCCCUAAGGGGGGAGGAUACGGCGGCUCCCCAGCCCUCUUUUAACAAGCCGUGCCUGGGAAAACCUUGGGUGUAACCAACUUAACGCUUGAGAAAAUUCUCUUUUUCGCGGUUGUUGUAUAUAGGAUUGUCUGUUUU